Molecule: ribosomal RNA, 700 nt
Filed under: uncultured bacterium
Lineage: Bacteria
Description: bacterial SSU rRNA
Rfam family: Bacterial small subunit ribosomal RNA
Source: RNAcentral
GCUGGCGGUAUGCUUAACACAUGCAGGUCGAACGAGAAGGAAGAGCUUGCUCUUCCUGAAAGUGGCGAACGGGUGAGUAACGCGUGGGUAACCUACCCUUUGGAAAGGAAUAGCCUCGGGAAACUGGGAGUAAUGCCUUAUAAGAUACGUUUGUCGCAUGGCAUUUGUAUUAAACGCUCCGGCGCCAUAGGAUGGACCCGCGUCCCAUUAGCUAGUUGGUGAGAUAACAGCUCACCAAGGCCACGAUGGGUAACCGGUCUGAGAGGGCGAACGGUCACACUGGAACUGAGACACGGUCCAGACUCCUACGGGAGGCAGCAGUGGGGAAUAUUGCGCAAUGGGGGCAACCCUGACGCAGCAAUACCGCGUGAGUGAAGAAGGUUUUCGGAUCGUAAAGCUCUGUUAUUGGGGAAGAAAAAAAGACGGUACCCAAGAAGAAAGUUCCGGCUAACUACGUGCCAGCAGCCGCGGUAAUACGUAGGGAACAAGCGUUGUCCGGAUUUACUGGGCGUAAAGGGCACGCAGGCGGUUUUUUAAGUCAGAUGUGAAAGGCCACAGCUCAACUGUGGACAUGCAUUUGAAACUGAAAGACUUGAGUAUUGGAGAGGCAAGUGGAAUUCCUAGUGUAGCGGUGAAAUGCGUAGAUAUUAGGAGGAACACCGGUGGCGAAGGCGGCUUGCUGGACAAAUACUGACGCUGA